This 339-nucleotide ribosomal RNA is filed under the name uncultured eukaryote. RNAcentral's name for it is "partial 18S ribosomal RNA". It matches the Rfam family "Eukaryotic small subunit ribosomal RNA", at positions 1470 to 1796 of the family's 1831-position model. The record is from RNAcentral.
CCCUCAGAUGUUCUGGGCCGCACGUGUGUUACAAUGACACAAACAGAAAGUAUUAAAACCUUGGUAGAUAUAUCUAGGUAAUCUGUAAAUUGUCUAGCUGUAAUGCACUUGUGCUAUAACUAAUUAGGGACUGACGAUUGAAAUUUUUCGUCACGAACCAGGAAUUCCUUGUAAGUACGCGUCAUCAUCGCGUGCUGAAUACGUCCCUGCCCUUUGUACACACCGCCCGUCGCUCCUACCGAUUGGGUGAUCCGAUGAAGUGCAUGGAGUACCUGAGCUUAUGCUUGUGGUGCGAAGUGAGCUGAAUCUUAUCAUUUAGAGGAAGGAGAAGUCGUAACA